GAUGAACGCUAGCGGCAGGCCUAAUACAUGCAAGUCGAACGGGAUCUGAGGGUAGCUUGCUACCCGAUUUGAGAGUGGCGCACGGGUGCGCAACGCGUGAGCAACCUACCCAUAUCAGGGGGAUAGCCCGACGAAAUUCGGAUUAACACCGCAUAAUAAUACGCUAACACAUGUUAAUGUAUUUAAAUAUUUAUAGGAUAUGGAUGGGCUCGCGUGACAUUAGCUAGUUGGUAAGGUAACGGCUUACCAAGGCGACGAUGUCUAGGGGCUCUGAGAGGAGAAUCCCCCACACUGGUACGGAGACACGGACCAGACUCCUACGGGAGGCAGCAGUAAGGAAUAUUGAUCAAUGGGCGCAAGCCUGAACCAGCCAUGCCGCGUGCAGGAGGACUGCCCUAUGGGUUGUAAACUGCUUUUGUUAGGGAAUAAACCUACUUAUGUAUAAGUAGCUGAAUGUACCUAAAGAAUAAGGAUCGGCUAACUCCGUGCCAGCCGCCGCGGUAA
This 504-nucleotide ribosomal RNA is filed under the name uncultured bacterium. RNAcentral's name for it is "partial 16S ribosomal RNA". It matches the Rfam family "Bacterial small subunit ribosomal RNA", at positions 28 to 523 of the family's 1533-position model. The record is from RNAcentral.